UACGUAGGGGGCAAGCGUUGUCCGGAUUUAUUGGGCGUAAAGAGCGUGUAGGCGGCUAGGUAGGUCCGUUGUGAAAACUCGAGGUUCAACCUCGAGCUGUCGAUGGAAACCAUCUGGCUAGAGUCCGGAAGAGGAGAGUGGAAUUCCUGGUGUAGCGGUGAAAUGCGCAGAUAUCAGGAAGAACACCCGUGGCGAAGGCGGCUCUCUGGUACGUGACUGACGCUGAGACGCGAAAGCGUGGGGAGCGAACAGG
RNAcentral lists this ribosomal RNA (253 nucleotides) under uncultured bacterium. Its description in RNAcentral is "partial 16S ribosomal RNA". It matches the Rfam family "Bacterial small subunit ribosomal RNA", at positions 524 to 776 of the family's 1533-position model. The record is from RNAcentral.